Long non-coding RNA from Fundulus heteroclitus (mummichog), 397 nucleotides. RefSeq lists it as uncharacterized. Lineage: Eukaryota; Metazoa; Chordata; Actinopteri; Cyprinodontiformes; Fundulidae. The record is from RefSeq and is a predicted model, not a curated record. The transcript has 3 exons.
GACUAAAAUCAGAAGAACUCUGGUCCCAAUCACACAGAAAACUGCUAAAGAGAAGGGGGUGCAUCCUCAGGGCACUUUGUAUCUAUCUAAAUGAAGAACCGAACAUCCUUUUCAAAGAAUACCAGGAUGGUGAUGGUACUGCUGAACAGAGGGAGCUUGGGCUACUUACUCUUGUCAUCUACAGCAACAAAGUCAGGGGAGGUGAUGCCACCACUCCUCAAGCUGAUGUUGGACUAGUGGUCGAGGGUGUUGAAGUUCUACAUGACCUGGGGGACGUCGCUUCUGCAUGUGCACUCUUAAUGGGUGUAAUAUACGCACUGAACCUCAGUUAUCCUAAAGGACUGAAAGCCUUCUUUGAAGUUCUACAGACGUUCUUCCUUUAACUGGAUACUAGCAC